RNAcentral lists this ribosomal RNA (413 nucleotides) under uncultured Streptococcus sp. Its description in RNAcentral is "bacterial SSU rRNA". It matches the Rfam family "Bacterial small subunit ribosomal RNA", at positions 968 to 1382 of the family's 1533-position model. Lineage: Bacteria; Bacillati; Bacillota; Bacilli; Lactobacillales; Streptococcaceae. The record is from RNAcentral.
ACCUUACCAGGUCUUGACAUCCCGAUUGACUAUUUCUAGAGAUAGAAAGUUACUUCGGUACAUCGGUGACAGGUGGUGCAUGGUUGUCGUCAGCUCGUGUCGUGAGAUGUUGGGUUAAGCCCCGCAACGAGCGCAACCCCUAUUGUUAGUUGCCAUCAUUCAGUUGGGCACUCUAGCGAGACUGCCGGUAAUAACCGGAGGAAGGUGGGAUGACGUCAAAUCAUCAUGUCCCUUAUGACCUGGGCUACACACGUGCUACAAUGGUUGGUACAACGAGUUGCGAGUCGGUGACGGCGAGCUAAUCUCUUAAAGCCAAUCUCAGUUCGGAUUGUAGGCUGCAACUCGCCUACAUGAAGUCGGAAUCGCUAGUAAUCGCGGAUCAGCACGCCGCGGUGAAUACGUUCCCGGGCCUU